CAGGUCUUGACAUCUCCUGACCACCCUAGAGAUAGGGCCUUCCCUUCGGGGACAGGAUGACAGGUGGUGCAUGGUUGUCGUCAGCUCGUGUCGUGAGAUGUUGGGUUAAGUCCCGCAACGAGCGCAACCCUUGUCCUUAGUUGCCAGCAUUCAGUUGGGCACUCUAAGGAGACUGCCGGCUAAAAGUCGGAGGAAGGUGGGGAUGACGUCAAAUCAUCAUGCCCCUUAUGACCUGGGCUACACACGUGCUACAAUGGAUGGUACAAAGGGUUGCGAAGCCGCGAGGUGAAGCCAAUCCCAUAAAGCCAUUCUCAGUUCGGAUUGCAGGCUGCAACUCGCCUGCAUGAAGCCGGAAUCGCUAGUAAUCGUAGAUCAGCAUGCUACGGUGAAUACGUUCCC
RNAcentral lists this ribosomal RNA (399 nucleotides) under uncultured soil bacterium. RNAcentral's name for it is "bacterial SSU rRNA". It matches the Rfam family "Bacterial small subunit ribosomal RNA", at positions 975 to 1375 of the family's 1533-position model. The record is from RNAcentral.